RNAcentral lists this ribosomal RNA (429 nucleotides) under Gemmatimonadota bacterium. RNAcentral describes it as "Gemmatimonadetes bacterium partial 16S ribosomal RNA". It matches the Rfam family "Bacterial small subunit ribosomal RNA", at positions 355 to 776 of the family's 1533-position model. The record is from RNAcentral. Lineage: Bacteria; Pseudomonadati; Gemmatimonadota.
UAGGGAAUCUUCGGCAAUGGACGAAAGUCUGACCGAGCAACGCCGCGUGAGUGAAGAAGGUUUUCGGAUCGUAAAACUCUGUUGUUAGAGAAGAACAAGGACGUUAGUAACUGAACGUCCCCUGACGGUAUCUAACCAGAAAGCCACGGCUAACUACGUGCCAGCAGCCGCGGUAAUACGUAGGUGGCAAGCGUUGUCCGGAUUUAUUGGGCGUAAAGCGAGCGCAGGCGGUUUCUUAAGUCUGAUGUGAAAGCCCCCGGCUCAACCGGGGAGGGUCAUUGGAAACUGGGAGACUUGAGUGCAGAAGAGGAGAGUGGAAUUCCAUGUGUAGCGGUGAAAUGCGUAGAUAUAUGUAGGAACACCAGUGGCGAAGGCGGCUCUCUGGUCUGUAACUGACGCUGAGGCGCGAAAGCGUGGGGAGCAAACAGG